This 473-nucleotide long non-coding RNA is filed under the name Brassica rapa (field mustard). Its description in RNAcentral is "long non-coding RNA (BRAP_LNC006253)". The record is from RNAcentral. Lineage: Eukaryota; Viridiplantae; Streptophyta; Magnoliopsida; Brassicales; Brassicaceae.
ACGCAUGUAUGAUAGCACUGCCACUUCUGGAUAAGUUUUUCGUAUUAAUUUGCAUUGGUUAUUGAGAUUUGUUUCGUCUCCAAAUUAUACGAACUUAAUUAUUUUUUAAUCAUAUUUUUUUAAGAAGAAAUAAAAACUAUACUAAAAUCUUAAGUUGUAUGAUAUUUAUAAAUAGAGACUAUUCUUAUUUCAUUUAGUUAUAGACAAAACAUCAAUUUUAUUUUUAUUUUUAUUUUCUAUUAGUCUCUAAUAAGCUUUUUUAAUUUUUUUAAAAACGUUUUUGUUAAAUGAAUUCCAAUAAUAAUCUUUUUAAAACCUAAAUUUUUUUCUAAUUUUUUAACUACUCGAAGUUUAACAACUAUUUAUUCCAAAACCAAAUUUUCAACCAACCCCAAAAUAUACCAAAUAUGGUUUUGAAACAAAUUACUUCAAGCUAUUAUUUGUUCCAGACUAGCAUCAAAAUUUACUAUUAA